UCCGAGUAAACCACGAACGAGGCAGCCGUCAGCCGUCUCAAAAAAGAAAAAUGACCUUCACGAACUGUUGCUCUCUCCUCCUUGUAAUUAUAUUCAUCAACUCUAUUUCAACUGCCCCAACUUGUCCGGCCAACGAAGAACUCCGGGACUCCGGAAUUAGCGAAUCCUGUUACAACUGCAACUCCGGUCCCGGCGGAUUCUGUGCCACAAUUCACGAAAGAAAGUGCUACUGCAAAGACGGCUACAUCAGGGACCCGUCUCGGAACGUUUGUACAACGCAUUGUUAAACCGAAAUAUGGAUGGCAGGCAACCAACAAUGCAAGAAGUUAAUAAAGCGACCGCCUGAA
Molecule: long non-coding RNA, 347 nt
Organism: Zophobas morio
Lineage: Eukaryota; Metazoa; Arthropoda; Insecta; Coleoptera; Tenebrionidae
Exons: 2
Source: RefSeq, a predicted model, not a curated record